RNAcentral lists this ribosomal RNA (141 nucleotides) under Arabidopsis suecica. Lineage: Eukaryota; Viridiplantae; Streptophyta; Magnoliopsida; Brassicales; Brassicaceae. The record is from RNAcentral.
CCCUGCAAUGAAAGAAGCAGGACAAUGGAACAUAUCCAUGGAUUUUUUGUCGACUCUAAAUUUUGACCUUUAGUUAAGCGUGCUUGGGCGAGAGUAGUACCAAGAUGGGUGACCUCCCGGGAAGUCCUCCUGUUGCAUCCU